GAUAUACAAUACUGAUGGAGCCAUCUGCCACGACCUGCAGACUAGACUGCACGUAUCCCAGAUUCAGCCCUCUCCCAUUGAUCUGGCCGCAUGCUCCUAUGGCUCCAGCUGUUGACAACACAAAUCUAAUAAAUAUGAACAGAAUGGGAGAAAUUCAUCUUUUCUUUGUCACCAUUUAAGUUUUCUCAUCCAAACCAGUCAGUACUUCUGACUCACUACUGACUCAGAACAGUGUCACACUGUGACCAGACAGCGUGUGUGUACUUUCAAGACUACAGGUGUGUUUAUGACUCAUCUGCCAGAUUUCACUUCAGUCCCAAAGAAACCGAAUUGAAGAGUUAACAGGUCUAUGUAGAAUUUAAAAGAAUUACUGGAGUUGAUCUGCACUUGACUUUCCACAGUCCUGGAGGUCAUUACCAAAGGUCUGAUCAGGAUGGAUCACUCCAAAAGAGGUGAUGUUGAAGAUGAAUUGAAAGCCCUAUUAACACGCCUAGAUGAGCAGACCACAGACAUGGCCAUGCAUCGAAGGUCAGUGGCACUUGGAGAUCUUCAGUUUUAUAUUCUGGAAUAUGUACCAAUUGUUAAGAAAUUUCAGACAGGCAGAUCAGAAGUAUGCAUGUUGGUUUCAUUGAGACUUCAGGAGAUCUGUGUGAAUUCCUUGGUUCAGUGGUGGACGUGCCUGUAGUGCUGGAGGAAGAAGUUGUCAUGAACAGCCAUCCAAACUUUCUGACUGCCUUUGUUGUGCUCUUUGGCCUGCUUUGCUUUCUCUAUAUUGAGUAUCCUAAACAGUGGAAGUAACUUUUUGAGGCUUUCUGGGACUUGACAGUAAAAAAAAUGUUCAGCUUGAAUUCAGUCACUGAGAACAAGACUGUUGCUGGCAUGGACAGACACUUGGCUCCUCCAUAUACAGUAAAUGAUCUAGUUUAGAGGCCAAAUUCAAGUGUCAUGAUGCCAGGUUCUGUCAUCUGCUUGAUGUUUAGGGUUAGGGUUAGGUUAGGGUUAGGGUAGGGUUAGGUUUAUCUCUUAUAGAAAUAAAAUACUUGUGGUUUAGAGCACACAAACAAAACACUGUAAAUAAAUUUGUCUCAUGUCUGGGAGCACUAUGUGUGUGCGUUCCUCCAUCCUUAUGUCUUUACCAUGCGGAUCUAUAAGGUAUUUUUGGAAAGUGUCAAUAAACCUGCUCUUUGGCGCAGUUCAAGUUUGUAUUCGGAUUUAUUUGCUCUUCAAUCUCUAUGCAGGCUUUGGAUUUUCAGGAUGACCAGAGCAGCAUUUCAGAUGCAGUGAUUAGUCUGCUGGUUAGUCCUGUUAUGAACAAAUUAUUCAGUCAUGUGGCUUUUUUAAUGAGCAUCUUGCAUUCCUAUUAAAUUUAAUAGGAGUUUAUUUGGGAAAUGUGUUUCCAUUAAAGUUUAUGAACAUUACUUCUUAUUGAAUAAAAAACGUAUCCUCAAGCGAAUGUACAAGUUUAUGUGCAUUUAGGAGAUGUUAUUCACAUCUUGGUAUUUCCAUCCAGCAUUUUUUAUGCAAUGUCCCAAAAUAUGCAUAAAAAUAAGGGGAUGGAAACAAAGCUAUAGAGAGUUAUUGACACCCACCGUUUGUACAAGUUUGUUGGAAAUAUUUUUCAACAUGUUUGUUAUAAAUCAACUUAAUUAACAAAUUAUUACCAGUGUUAAUGGCUAGGGUUUAUCUCUUUUCAAUUUUGUAAACUAAAAUGUGUUGUUUUAUUGCAGUUAAUGUUGAUCAGCUGUAAGGAAUUAAACUUGUGUCAUUUGUUAAUGUGCAUAUGCUUAUGGAAUAUAUUCCUAAUACAGACUGAGGAAAAAUAAAAAACAUGGAUUUCAUUUGUGUGCUUAAAAGUUCAUUUAAUUCUUAGUGGCCUCAGUGUAAAAUAGUUUAGUAACUAGUUCACUAGUUUAGUACCAGUAACUAGUUUAGUGCAGCUAUUUCUAGUUGAGAUGUCCAAAUAAUACAUUCUAGUUCAAUGAAUAUAUUUGACAUAUGGAGUAAACACACAAUUUUUAACUGAAUGUAUCUUUGUGUUAGUUUUCUAAAUGUUGCACCAAUUAAAACAUUUUAGUUGAGUGAACUAUGAAACUAGUUGGGCUAUAACAUACUAUUUUAAAUUGGAGUUCACUUUGAGCCAACUAAACAAGAAUAAUUCAGUUAAUACUUUGAAGAAAGAAACUGAGUGAAUGUAAAAAUUCUGUGGAACUAGUUACUAAAUAUUUAUUCAUUGAGAUGGCUUGACAUUUUUUACAGUGUACGUCUUUCGGUCAUGAGAUAUUGUUGGUCACUGGAGAUUACAUCAAUCAGCUCAGAUGUUGAGAGUCUGACUUGGUGGUCUUGUAGUAACAAAUUCGCCAUUUCUAUAAGAAACUGCGGCUUCUAUUCUGCUCAGAUACAACUUUACAUUUUAAUAAACAAAGAUUGCAUCUGCACUUCUGUGGAUGUAUAUCUUGA
Molecule: long non-coding RNA, 2457 nt
Organism: Myxocyprinus asiaticus (Chinese sucker)
Lineage: Eukaryota; Metazoa; Chordata; Actinopteri; Cypriniformes; Catostomidae
Exons: 5
Source: RefSeq, a predicted model, not a curated record